RNAcentral lists this ribosomal RNA (253 nucleotides) under uncultured bacterium. Its description in RNAcentral is "partial 16S ribosomal RNA". It matches the Rfam family "Bacterial small subunit ribosomal RNA", at positions 524 to 776 of the family's 1533-position model. The record is from RNAcentral.
UACGAAGGGGGCUAGCGUUGCUCGGAAUCACUGGGCGUAAAGGGUGCGUAGGCGGGUCUUUAAGUCAGGGGUGAAAUCCUGGAGCUCAACUCCAGAACUGCCUUUGAUACUGAAGAUCUUGAGUUCGGGAGAGGUGAGUGGAACUGCGAGUGUAGAGGUGAAAUUCGUAGAUAUUCGCAAGAACACCAGUGGCGAAGGCGGCUCACUGGCCCGAUACUGACGCUGAGCCACGAAAGCGUGGGGAGCAAACAGG